RNA transcript from Solanum stenotomum, 2285 nucleotides. It is a transcript of the gene named casein kinase 1-like protein 3, with no coding region annotated. NCBI's taxonomy places the organism in Eukaryota, Viridiplantae, Streptophyta, Magnoliopsida, Solanales, Solanaceae. The transcript is spliced from 16 exons. The record is from RefSeq and is a predicted model, not a curated record.
AAUACUCUCUCUGUUAUCCCUAACCCCCCCACCCCCCGAAACUCUUCUCCGCCGACUUUUGUUUUCUUCACCGGAAAAUCUUCGAGUUCUUCGCCGGUGUUAUUUGCUUCGAUUACAACUCCGUUUUCUUCUUCUUCAAUCAAAUCUGUGUGUGAUUGCUGUUUGCGCGUCGCCGAAUCUUCAAAAGAGUUUUCGGUUUUUUUUCAUGAUCUGUGAAGAGUCUGAUCUGAUCUAAGCCGUCGAUCUGAGAUAUGGAUAGGAUCGUCGGAGGUAAAUUCAAGCUCGGACGAAAAAUCGGUAGUGGAUCUUUUGGUGAAAUUUUUCUCGCUACGCAUAUUGAUUCAUUUGAGAUCGUCGCUGUCAAAAUUGAGAACAAUAAGACCAAACAUCCUCAACUUCUCUAUGAGGCCAAGUUAUACAAUAUUCUCCAGGGAGGAAGUGGUGUACCACAUAUAAAAUGGUCUGGUGUGGAUGGUGAUGACAAUGUUCUGGUCAUGGAUUUAUUGGGUCCUAGCUUGGAAGAUCUCUUUGUCUAUUGUGACCGGAAGCUUUCAUUGAAGACUGUUUUAAUGUUGGCUGACCAGAUGAUUACCAGAAUCGAAUAUGUACAUUCUAAGGGCUUUCUACACAGGGAUAUUAAGCCUGACAACUUUCUGAUGGGUCUUGGUCGGAAAGCAAAUCAGGUUUAUAUUAUUGAUUUUGGUCUUGCUAAAAGAUACCGUGAUGUGACUACAAAUCGCCAUAUUCCUUACAGAGAGAACAAAAAUUUAACUGGAACAGCACGCUAUGCCAGUUGUAAUACUCAUCUCGGAAUUGAGCAAAGUCGGCGGGAUGAUUUAGAAUCUCUUGGAUAUGUUCUCCUUUAUUUCUUGAGAGGCAGCCUCCCAUGGCAGGGUCUAAAAGCUGCCACAAAGAAGCAAAAGUAUGACAAAAUAUGUCAAAAGAAGUUAUCAACUCCUAUUGAGGUUUUAUGCAAGUCUCAUCCUGUUGAGUUUGCUUCGUACUUCCAUUACUGUCAUUCAUUGACAUUUGAUCAGCGACCUGAUUAUGGAUUCUUAAAGCGCCUCUUUCGUGAACUUUUUACCCGUCAAGGAUAUGAAUUUGAUUACAUAUUUGAUUGGACCAUCCUAAAGUACCAACAGGCACAAACAAGUAAAUCACAGCAUCGGCAAGUUGGUGGUGAAAGUAGCCGAGCAAUUCCAAUGGAUGUUGAAAAGCGUCAAGUUUCUACAGGCAACAAUGGACCUUAUGUUGCUGAGGUGACUGAUCGCAUAAGGCCAAAUAAUCCUUCGAGUCCUGGAAUUCGGAUGCAAUUUAAGUCACCAACAAACAGGAAUUUAACUCCCGCCAAUCUUGAGAGAAAUGUAUUAAGUAGUGCUCAUAUGCCAUCUUCUUCAUUGGCUCCUGUUUUACCAAGAGCAAAUGCCACAAAACCUGUUUUACCCACUGAAACAACACAUGAUGGUGAUAAUGGAGGCAGCAGCUGGAUGUCCUCCUUGCGACGUAUUUCUUCUGCAAAGUGAUAAAAAGGAUAAGAUGAAGAUGAAGUUGGGGCUAAUGUGCCUUCAAAUUGAGCAGCUCAUACUUAUUUUAUGAUUACAAGCUGGUUCGGAUGACUAUGGUGGCUGAUCAUGGCCUGCUGCAAUUUCAUGAGUUCAAGAGGGUGGUGUGAAUUGAGCUGGACAUGAAAGCAGAUGGCAGCUGUUUGUCUAUCUAUGGGAGCUCGGGACCCGUGAGAUGUGGUUUCUGUCAGUGUAAUGGUUCCCUUGGAUUCAAUCAACUCCAGAAGAACAGGAACUAGUGAUUGCGUUGUUUGGUUUGUUGAUUGUGCGAGUGAUCAAGUAUGUAAUGGACAAGUAUUCACUGGUUCCUUGGUUGUACCAUUCUGCCUGAGCUUAUAUUCCUGGUCUCAAGUGUCUUUGCUUCUAGACUUGCUAGGUUCGCGAUGAAAUCAUACUGAAAAACUUUUUGCCUUUGCAACUGUGAUCGAGUAAUGAAGCUAGCCUCCGAAUGACUGACGUAUGAACUGAAUAUCUAGUCCUGUUGGACUUGUCAGGACUUGAGACUGGGAGUUUCGACACCCAAAGUUCGUGCUGAUUUCGUUUUCAGCGAGGCUAUGGUGCUGGAAGAAUAUUUGGUUACACAUUUAAGUCCCAGGUUAUAUAUUAAUCAGUAAGUGUCCGUUUAGCAUUGAAAUAUUCCUCUCAUUAUUUGCAUAACCAAGAAUAUUUAGUUACACAUCUAAUUUUUCUAUAAUCGAAUGUCAGUAGCGGCAAAAAUAAUUU